Molecule: ribosomal RNA, 484 nt
Filed under: uncultured bacterium
Lineage: Bacteria
Description: partial 16S ribosomal RNA
Rfam family: Bacterial small subunit ribosomal RNA
Source: RNAcentral
AUUGAACGCUGGCGGCAUGCUUUACACAUGCAAGUCGAACGGCAGCGCGGGCUUCGGCCUGGCGGCGAGUGGCGAACGGGUGAGUAAUACAUCGGAACGUGCCCAGUAGUGGGGGAUAGCUCGGCGAAAGCCGGAUUAAUACCGCAUACGACCUGAGGGUGAAAGCGGGGGAUCUUCGGACCUCGCGCUAUUGGAGCGGCCGAUGGCAGAUUAGCUAGUUGGUGGGGUAAAGGCCUACCAAGGCGACAAUCUGUAGCUGGUCUGAGAGGACGACCAGCCACACUGGGACUGAGACACGGCCCAGACUCCUACGGGAGGCAGCAGUGGGGAAUUUUGGACAAUGGGCGAAAGCCUGAUCCAGCAAUGCCGCGUGUGUGAUGAAGGCCUUCGGGUUGUAAAGCACUUUUGGCGGGAACGAAAAGGACAGUGCCAAUACCACGGUUCGAUGACGGUACCCGCAGAAUAAGCACCGGCUAACUACGUG